RNAcentral lists this transfer RNA (84 nucleotides) under Fibrobacter sp. RNAcentral describes it as "tRNA-Leu". It matches the Rfam family "tRNA". Rfam says of the family: Transfer RNA (tRNA) molecules are approximately 80 nucleotides in length. Their secondary structure includes four short double-helical elements and three loops (D, anti-codon, and T loops). Lineage: Bacteria; Pseudomonadati; Fibrobacterota; Fibrobacteria; Fibrobacterales; Fibrobacteraceae. The record is from RNAcentral. RNAcentral also lists the same sequence under 1 other name.
GCGGUUGUGGUGGAAUUGGUAGACACGCUACUUUGAGGGGGUAGUGGGCAAUCGCCUGUAUCGGUUCGAGUCCGAUCAACCGCA